Mus musculus (house mouse) is the source of this 1672-nucleotide long non-coding RNA. RefSeq annotates it as predicted gene, 41147. Lineage: Eukaryota; Metazoa; Chordata; Mammalia; Rodentia; Muridae. The transcript has 3 exons. The record is from RefSeq and is a predicted model, not a curated record.
CAAUGUAUUAUCUGUCAAUUGGCCUUCUAUACCCACUUAUAUAUAGUUAUGUGCCCUGCGUUGUAUAAAAUUUUCUUAGGCAAGAAGGCUCUAGUGUAAUUCACAUGCCAGUACACACCCUGAGACACAGACAUUCAGGUCCUAGACAUCCACGUGUGGUAGUGUGGCCCACCAGCCAUGCCACCUCUGGCUCCACACGCCAGGGUCAGGACACUAACUUGUUGCCUGGAAAGAAUGGUUUCUGUCGCCACAACCCCAGGCUCUUUACCCACUUCCUUCCAAAGGACCUCUCUCUGCCCAGCUCAGGAGGCAGAAGGAAAACCAGGAAGGGAAAAAGCAGCAGAUGCCUGCUUCCCAAGCCUUCCCUCUCACCAGGGAAAGCAAAUGUCUUGUGAUUAAAUGCCAAGUUGUGAACCCCAUGUGAGAGGUGAGGUAGACUCUGGGAUUGGAUGUGGCCGCAGCACCGCGGUGGGUGUUAGACUCUGGACUCUCCCAGCUGAUCUUCCAGAGCAUUUCCUCAGAAUCAGCAGGACUGUGGCUGCAGAGCCAGGUACCAUCCCUGCCUCGAGUCUCUGCCUGAAGGCAAUGCUUUGGAGCUAUGAGGAAAAUAAAUGAGGCCACGAGGCUUGUCUGUGGUGGUCAAGUGCUAGCCCACCUGCCUUCCAGAUUAUCUCCUGUAAACUGUAGUUCUAAAGUCAGACAUCUGAAGCGACGUUGCCCUGGACUACACAGAUCUCUCUUCUAAACAAAGACUUCCGGUCUGGGGAAGGAAGAUGGAGGGGACUUUUAGUCUAUAAAAUUCUGUCCAGGGAGAAGCCCAAGAUCAACAGUGGUUAAAGCCAAAGAGAUCAGAGGUUUGGAGACUCACUGAGAGCGGCAAAUCCCAGCUAUUUCUUGAUCACCUUUCAGAGAUCAAACAUCACACUGCCUUUGCCGGAGCACUCAGAUCCCUCAAAGAGUCUACACACAGCCUUCCCGAUGGCCGGGAGCUUGACGCACUGCCAAGGAUGGAUGUGAGUUUCCAGUUCCUCCGCUUCCACUUCUCACGUGCUGAGAUUACAGCCCACAGUGGCCUCGAACUUGAACUCGCUAAUCUGGUUUUGAUCCGAUCCUCCUGGCUCCUUCCCCCGAGAGCUGGGAACACGGAGGAGCACCACCUCGACCACCUCAACUGGCUCCGUUUGAUUGAUGGUCACAGUCCUCCCUUCCCACUGACAGUCUGGCUGGUGACAUUCUCACAAGGGUGCCUCGUGAGCUUUACUGUGACAGACAGUCUAGCAACUGUGAAACCACUCAGCCCACCACCAGGACUUGGCAAGUGGACAGAGUGGAGAAAAUAAGCAAAAAAGGUGGGUGGGGCCCUCAAGCACCCUGCAAACACCUAUGAAUGACUCCAUUUAAUACAUCCUAGGGAGGACUCUGGAGGGUCAGAACCAAGGCAGGCCUCAGAACCAGGAAGUUACACCCAUGUUCGUAUUUAGAAAACCACGGGGUUGUAAUAGCCAACUUUCUGGGCCUCUGAAUGAAAGAGUCAGUGUGGUUCAGCUGUGAGAGUGUGUGAAAGGGCUCUUUGACACAGCCGCACUCAGCUCUGGCCUUCACUGGGGCCCUUCGUAACACUUCCUAGCUCUGCCAUGGAGGCUACACAGCACACACCCAGACAACAAAUUCU